CUUCAAGUCACACACGUCCAAUCGUAAAAGUAUUUUUUAAUUUCUGUUUUUUAUUGGCUCAUUUCGUGUAAUUUGCUGUGUAUAAAGUGAGGGCUGAUUUAAUAGAUCAGUCCUCAUGGUAAUGAACGUGGGGUGCAACAUCUAAAACCAACUCAAUAGUAUAGUAUACAAGUUAACAUAAGCUGCCCUUUGUCAACAAUAAAGUCCGCGCGUGGCCUGAGUCAGCGAAUCCACAUUCUCACGCUGGCAGCUAGCAGUCAACAUAAGCAGCACUUUGUCAACAACAAAGUCCGCGCGAGUUACGUCGACGUCGAUGCCAACCACUAUCGGCAUGACCGAUAUGAAUGCAACUGCAAUUCAUAAGAACUGCAACAAAGAAAUAAUGCCGACGUCAACGUUAACAACCUACCCCAAAACACUUAGAAUUAACUGGUCUACUUAAAUAUUUUCCCUUUUUUGUUACCGCAACAAUAUUGCGACCACACGAAAUAUGCAUAUCAUAUUUCGAAACAAACCAGGGCACUUACAUUGGAUCACAUUGCAUAUCCGCUGCACAUUUAAUAUGUUCAAACGAAUAUUGCGAUAGCAAUUAACGUCACAAUAAAUAGUGCAACAUAAAUAUUUGAGGGAAUGCAAUUGAUGUAAUGUGAGAAGUAGGCCACUUGACAAAUAUUGUCGCAACUACAAGUGGUUGCGCCAAAAUAAUAAUAAGAAAAGAAAUAAUGUAUUUUGUAUCAGAAAAUAGAACUUAGCUUAAGAAAAUAUUGGAAAUAAAUGAACAGAAGAAUUCUGACGGUUAAUCCGACAA
This is a long non-coding RNA of Bactrocera neohumeralis, 808 nucleotides long. RefSeq lists it as uncharacterized. The transcript is spliced from 2 exons. The record is from RefSeq and is a predicted model, not a curated record. NCBI's taxonomy places the organism in Eukaryota, Metazoa, Arthropoda, Insecta, Diptera, Tephritidae.